UAAAAAGAUUAAACCCAUGCAUGUCUAAGUAUAAACGAUUCUAUCGUGAAACCGCGAACGGCUCAUUAAAUCAGCUAUGAUCUACUUGAUCUUGACAUUCAUUCUACUUGGAUAACUGUGGUAAUUCUAGAGCUAAUACAUGCACAAAAGCUCUGACCUUGCGGGAAGAGCGCAUUUAUUAGAGCAAAACCAAGCGAUUUCGGUCGUUUUUUGCUGACUCAGAAUAACUAAGCUGAUCGCACGGUCUCGCACCGGCGACGUGUCUUUUGAGUAUCUGCCUUAUCAAUUUUCGAUGGUAGUGUAUCUGACUACCAUGGUUUUGACGGGUAACGGAGAAUAAGGGUUCGACUCCGGAGAAGGGGCCUGAGAAAUGGCCACUACGUCUAAGGAUGGCAGCAGGCGCGCAAAUUACCCACUCUCGGAAUGAGGAGGUAGUAACGAGAAAUAACGAGACCGUUCUCUAUGAGGCCGGUUAUCGGAAUGGGUACAAUCUAAACCCUUUAACGAGUAUCUAUGAGAGGGCAAGUCUGGUGCCAGCAGCCGCGGUAAUUCCAGCUCUCAAAGUGCAUAGAACCAUUGUUGCGGUUAAAAAGCUCGUAGUUGAAUCUAGGCCUGAGGCCUGGUCCACUCCCAGAGUGCGUACUAGGUUCUUUGGCUUUGGCGUCGGUUUUCGUGUCGUCGCCUUUAUUGGUGGCGGCAAGUGGCUGACAAUUUUACUUUGAACAAAUCAGAGUGCUCAAAACAGGCGUUUCGCUUGUAUGCUUUUGCAUGGAAUAAUAGAAUAUGACUUCGGUUUAGUUUUAUUGGUUUUAUAGAUCGUUGUAAUGAUUAAAAGAGACAAACGGGGGCAUUUAGUAUUGUUGCGUGAGUGGUGAACGAAAGGGGAUGGCAACGGCAUUUGC
Molecule: ribosomal RNA, 902 nt
Filed under: Howardula phyllotretae
Lineage: Eukaryota; Metazoa; Nematoda; Chromadorea; Rhabditida; Allantonematidae
Description: SSU rRNA
Rfam family: Eukaryotic small subunit ribosomal RNA
Source: RNAcentral